RNAcentral lists this ribosomal RNA (1215 nucleotides) under metagenome. RNAcentral's name for it is "bacterial SSU rRNA". It matches the Rfam family "Bacterial small subunit ribosomal RNA", at positions 273 to 1498 of the family's 1533-position model. The record is from RNAcentral.
ACAUCGAUGUCUAGGGGUUCUGAGAGGAUUAUCCCCCACACUGGUACUGAGACACGGACCAGACUCCUACGGGAGGCAGCAGUAAGGAAUAUUGGUCAAUGGACGAAAGUCUGAACCAGCCAUGCCGCGUGCAGGAUGACGGCCCUAUGGGUUGUAAACUGCUUUUAUACGGGAAGAAUCCCCUGUACGUGUACAGGGUUGACGGUACCGUACGAAUAAGCAUCGGCUAACUCCGUGCCAGCAGCCGCGGUAAUACGGAGGAUGCAAGCGUUAUCCGGAUUCAUUGGGUUUAAAGGGUGCGUAGGCGGAAUGAUAAGUUAGUGGUGAAAGCCUCCGGCUCAACCGGGGAACUGCCAUUAAUACUGUCAUUCUUGAGUAUAGUUGAAGUGGGCGGAAUGUAUCAUGUAGCGGUAAAAUGCUUAGAUAUGAUACAGAACACCGAUAGCGUAGGCAGCUUGCUAAACUAUAACUGACGCUCAGGCACGAAAGCGUGGGGAGCAAACAGGAUUAGAUACCCUGGUAGUCCACGCCGUAAACGAUGAUCACUCGCUGUUGGCAAUACACCGUCAGCGGCUUAGGGAGACCAUUAAGUGAUCCACCUGGGGAGUACGGUCGCAAGAUUGAAACUCAAAGGAAUUGACGGGGGCCCGCACAAGCGGAGGAGCAUGUGGUUUAAUUCGAUGAUACGCGAGGAACCUUACCUGGGCUUAAAUGUUGGACGACAGUCCCCGAAAGGGGACCUUUCUUCGGAACGUCUAGCAAGGUGCUGCAUGGUUGUCGUCAGCUCGUGCCGUGAGGUGUCGGGUUAAGUCCCAUAACGAGCGCAACCCCUAUUCUUAGUUGCCAUCAGAUAAUGCUGGGGACUCUAAGAAAACUGCCUACGUAAGUAGUGAGGAAGGUGGGGAUGACGUCAAAUCAGCACGGCCCUUAUGUCCAGGGCUACACACGUGCUACAAUGGCCGGUACAGAGGGCAGCUACCUGGUGACAGGAUGCUAAUCUCGAAAACCGGUCUCAGUUCGGAUCGAAGUCUGCAACUCGACUUCGUGAAGUCGGAUUCGCUAGUAAUCGCACAUCAGCCAUGGCGCGGUGAAUACGUUCCCGGGCCUUGUACACACCGCCCGUCAAGCCAUGGAAGCUGGGGGUACCUAAAGUCCGUAACCGCAAGGAGCGGCCUAGGGUAAAACUAGUGACUGGGGCUAAGUCGAAACAAGGUA